Molecule: long non-coding RNA, 1005 nt
Filed under: Musa acuminata (dwarf banana)
Lineage: Eukaryota; Viridiplantae; Streptophyta; Magnoliopsida; Zingiberales; Musaceae
Description: long non-coding RNA (MACU_LNC000945)
Source: RNAcentral
CAAAUACCAAUAUCGAUUAAUUGAGCACUACAUCAAGGCGUCGGAAUAAUAACCACGCGCGUGGCUUUGAAGGAUCCUGAAUCUAGUAGUUCAUGCAAACAGUAGCAUAUCUCAUUAGAUCAUAAUGCUCAAGUUGACCAUGUUCUGCACAGAAUGGAUGAUGAACCUUGGACACCACUAUACUUUAGAAGGAUUAUUCAAGAACUCACCUGUGCUUAUUUCAGUCACAAUCUCCAUGAAAGAACUGCACAAAUUGGAUCCUUGAUUGGUUCAACGGUGAGAAUGGCAUCAUCCGAUGAGUUGCAUCACCCACAGCAUUCCAAAUAAAAUACCCAGUAUUUGCAUUGUUGGUCAGAGAGACUAUUCUACAAAGCGAAGGCGAAGAGUCUCCUACAUGCUUCACAUACAUGUUGACCAAAGCAAAUCUAAGAGUUGGAUUCCUUUAAUCCAUGUUGUGUCGGGAUCAAGCUUCCAUGCUUGGUUACAGCCUGAACUUCAUAUAAAGAAAGAACAGUUGUGUAGGAUCAGAUUUCGAUAGCUAAUCUCGUUAUCUCUUGCGAGAAGCCAUAUUCUACACCACUUCAAGCAGAUCUGCAGGUGUCUCCUUGACACAUUCUACAUCAUGAGACCCUCCAAUAAUAUGUCCGGCUGUGCCAUGGCACUCGUCAUCAGCUCUUUUCUUGUUUUGGGAGUCAUUUACGCCUGCUUGUGGAUGCCUGAGGGAUCAACAGCUUUCUUUCACCUGCAGCGCAACAUAAAUACUGUAAGUUCAACAUGAGAACUCAUUCAUCAAGUUAGCAAUACUGAGUACAAACAGAAGUAAAAAGCUAUUUUAAUUUUUCGAGAAAUUUUCGUCCUGCCAAGUAUGUGAAGAGCUCAUCAACUAGCUUGUGUAUUGUACAUGGGCAGACAAGAAACAUACCAAAAGACAAACUAGAAGCAGCUCUGGUGAGAGUUUCUGUGGCGAACAAGACUACGAUCAUCGCAAUACUGAACAAGGCGUAU